UACAGAGGUGGCAAGCGUUGUUCGGAAUUACUGGGCGUAAAGGGCGCGUAGGCGGCCCGUCAAGUCCCGUGUGAAAGCCCCCGGCUCAACCGGGGAACUGCACGGGAAACUAGCAGGCUUGAGUUCGGGAGAGGGAAGCGGAAUUUCGGGUGUAGCGGUGAAAUGCGCAGAUAUCAGGAAGAACACCCGUGGCUAAGGCGGCUCUCUAGUACGGUACUGACGCUGAGACGCGAAAGCGUGGGGAGCGAACAGG
Molecule: ribosomal RNA, 253 nt
Filed under: uncultured bacterium
Lineage: Bacteria
Description: partial 16S ribosomal RNA
Rfam family: Bacterial small subunit ribosomal RNA
Source: RNAcentral